GAAAUGCAAUAAUUAAUGUGAAUUGCAGAAUUCAGUGAAUCAUCGAGUCUUUGAACGCACAUUGCGCCCCCUGGUAUUCCGGGGGGCAUGCCUGUCCGAGCGUCAUUGCUGCCCUCAAGCACGGCUUGUGUGUUGGGCUUCCGUCCCUGGCAACGGGGACGGGCCCAAAAGGCAGUGGCGGCACCAUGUCUGGUCCUCGAGCGUAUGGGGCUUUGUCACCCGCUCCCGUAGGUCCAGCUGGCAGCUAGCCUCGCAACCAAUCUUUUUAACCAGGUUGACCUCGGAUCAGGUAGUGAUACCCGCUGAACUUAAGC
Molecule: unclassified non-coding RNA, 314 nt
Filed under: plant metagenome
Description: partial contains 5.8S ribosomal RNA, internal transcribed spacer 2, and large subunit ribosomal RNA
Rfam family: 5.8S ribosomal RNA (bases 1-105)
Source: RNAcentral